Molecule: unclassified non-coding RNA, 274 nt
Filed under: uncultured fungus
Lineage: Eukaryota; Fungi
Description: sequence contains ITS1
Source: RNAcentral
UUAACAAUUGUUAUUAACAAAAUUCAGACUGAUGGCAAGAUAAUGCAAGUGGUUUUCUUCACACCAUCCGCAGGAAGGUGUCUUCAUGGACCAAGACCACACCACCUACACCGAUGGCAGGGGCUUGUCUCGGGGGACCUCCCCCACACAAGAGGGAGGUUAGCCGCUCCCAUGGAAGCAACAGGAAAGGUACGCAGAGUGGGUUUGAAUUGUGAUACGCGUAAAGCAUGCACUGAUUCAUUUAAUGAUCCUUCCGCAGGUUCACCUACGGAAA